Molecule: ribosomal RNA, 253 nt
Filed under: uncultured bacterium
Lineage: Bacteria
Description: partial 16S ribosomal RNA
Rfam family: Bacterial small subunit ribosomal RNA
Source: RNAcentral
GACAGAGGUGCCAAGCGUUAGGCGGAAUCACUGGGCUUAAAGCGUGUGUAGGCGGACCUGUAAGUGCCUUGUGAAAUCCCAUGGCUCAACCAUGGAACGGUUGGGCAUACUGCGGGUCUUGAGCUGUCUAGGGGCAACCGGAACAAACGGUGGAGCGGUGAAAUGCGUAGAUAUCGUUUGGAACGCCAAAGGUGAAAACAGGUUGCUGGGGACAUGCUGACGCUGAGACACGAAAGCCAGGGGAGCGAACGGG